UGUUCUGUAUCAAAACAGUUUCUAAUUAUUAUUCAGAUGAAAUACACUUCAAAUAUGUUACAAUUUGUGGCAAUUUUUAAUCUUCAAAGCCUUGAGUCCUUGAAUCCGCGAAAAGCUGCCCAGUGACAGAGAAGUACUGAUCUCACACCCAGAUGGGGAACCUGAAGCAACAGACCCAAACUAUUUUUUUAAAAGGUACAACAGAGGCCUGAUUUCUCUAGUGACUCCAUUGUCUCAGAAUCACCUCACCAGAGAGCGGCCCUUGAACCCAGUCUAAAGUCUGACUUUGAAGUCUGAAGGAUGACAGAAAUUGAAGAGGCUUAAAGGCAGACACUAGUUUGGUUCUGGUUUUUCACGACUGAAACUAACCUCUCUGAGAACCUAUGGAUAUAAGAAAUAAACCAAUGGAGAGAUAGACAAGACUUUCAGUUUUCAAUAAAAGCAAGGGGAAGAUUCUAUUUGGUUCAUCUACUACAUAAAAAUAACCAAAAAUAGGAAAAAAAGAAUAGAAAGGACAGGAAAUUCUCUUCACAGCUGAACAAACCUCUAUCAUUUUAACAUAACACAGACGGCAUUAUGGAAUUAUUUGAACCAAUGGAAAUUUCCAGUAGAGGGAAAAAUACAUUACCAAAAUUAAAAACAAAUAUCCAAUUACUAAAAUAAAAUAGGACAGCGAGGCCAGCUCUAACAUUUUAUACCUCUAUUUCAUCUUCUGUGUGGGAGUCAAAAACAGAAUAAAUUUGUAUUCUGUAAAAGACCAAUGAAAAGAGUAACAAGUGCUUUCGUUUUUAAAUUAUCCUUUAAAAAAAGAAGAAUCGAUGUUAUGGAUAAUUACCAGAGAACCAAGGAACUACAGCAAAAACUUAAAGAUAACCUAUCACUGUGCAUUUCCAGGAAAAAGCGGUAAAACAAGUUUUACCAGAUGGAGAAGUUAAAGACACCUGGGGUUCAUUUCCCCCAUUCCUAUAAAAUAAUUCACCGUUCUUAUCUGAGAAUCUUUAAGGAUCUAGUACAGCCACUCCCCUACCUUUGCUCAGAUGAAAGACAAAUCACUCACUAAUUUCCAAAAGGCCUCUCCAUUUCAAGCUUUCAAUCAAUCUUCAUAGCCAGCAAAAGCUGAAGCAUCCGUCUCCUUCUGUCCUUCUGAAAGAAGUUUCAUCUCUUUCAAAAGCAGUGGCUAGAAAGCCAUUUUCUCUCUCUAGAAGCACAAGGUUUAACUCUGUCCUCUGCUUUGUCUAUCCUAAAUAACAACAAGAAUAACAACAAAGCCUCAUGAGUGCUCCUUCAGCCUCGCAGAAAAGAACCAGCCACCUUCUGGCUCUCGCACAGCUGCUUCUGUCUUUCUCUGAAAGACACUCCACCCUGGAGGUUCCACAGGCAGAAUAACAAAAAGUGGAGCUGAAAAAGCUGCUAUAUGCUUAUCUGACCUCCAAAAUAGAGACAGGGCCCUCAAGCAACCAGAAACUCCCUAGCAAAAGAAAACUUUUUUUACAGUUUAAAAAUAACAAAUUGUAUUUGCACAUCCCCCUUUGUGCAGCCCUCCCAGCUUGUCUCAAACUAGUUGUCUCAACUCAUAAUAAAGCACAUUAAUACCAACUGUGUUAUAA
Canis lupus familiaris (dog) is the source of this 1607-nucleotide long non-coding RNA. RefSeq lists it as uncharacterized. The transcript has 4 exons. NCBI's taxonomy places the organism in Eukaryota, Metazoa, Chordata, Mammalia, Carnivora, Canidae. The record is from RefSeq and is a predicted model, not a curated record.